This 253-nucleotide ribosomal RNA is filed under the name uncultured bacterium. RNAcentral describes it as "partial 16S ribosomal RNA". It matches the Rfam family "Bacterial small subunit ribosomal RNA", at positions 524 to 776 of the family's 1533-position model. The record is from RNAcentral.
UACAGAGGUCUCAAGCGUUGUUCGGAUUCAUUGGGCGUAAAGGGUGCGUAGGCGGCGCGGUAAGUCGGGUGUGAAAUCUCGGAGCUUAACUCCGAAAUUGCACUGGAUACUGCUCUGCUAGAGGGCUGGAGAGGAGAUCGGAAUUCACGGUGUAGCAGUGAAAUGCGUAGAUAUCGUGAGGAAGACCAGUGGCGAAGGCGGAUCUCUGGACAGCUCCUGACGCUGAGGCGCGAAGGCUAGGGGAGCAAACGGG